GACGAACGCUGGCGGCGUGCUUAACACAUGCCAGUCGAACGGAAAGGCCCUGCUUUUGUGGGGUGCUCGAGUGGCGAACGGGUGAGUAACACGUGAGUAACCUGCCCUUGACUUUGGGAUAACUUCAGGAAACUGGGGCUAAUACCGGAUAGGAGCUCCUGCUGCAUGGUGGGGGUUGGAAAGUUUCGGCGGUUGGGGAUGGACUCGCGGCUUAUCAGCUUGUUGGUGGGGUAGUGGCUUACCAAGGCUUUGACGGGUAGCCGGCCUGAGAGGGUGACCGGCCACAUGGGGACGGAGAGACGGCCCAACCUCCUACGGGGGGAAGGAGGGGGGAAUAUUGCAAAAGGGGCGGAAGCCUGAUGAGGCAACGCCGGGGGGGGGAUGAGGGCCUUGGGGUUGUAAACCGCUUUCGCCUGGGACGAAGCGGGAGUGGCGGGAAUGGGGAAAGAAGCACCGGACAACUACGU
Molecule: ribosomal RNA, 467 nt
Filed under: uncultured bacterium
Lineage: Bacteria
Description: partial 16S ribosomal RNA
Rfam family: Bacterial small subunit ribosomal RNA
Source: RNAcentral